This 209-nucleotide long non-coding RNA is filed under the name Mytilus galloprovincialis (Mediterranean mussel). The record is from RNAcentral. Lineage: Eukaryota; Metazoa; Mollusca; Bivalvia; Mytilida; Mytilidae.
GAUUGAUUUUGGGAUUUGAGAUCCCAACAGUUUGGGAAUUAGGGGCCAAAAAGUGGCCCAAAUAAGCAUUUUUCUUGGUUUUCGCACCAUAACUUUAGUAUAAGUAAAUAGAAAUCUAUGAAAUUUAAACACAAGGUUUAUGACCAUAAAAGGAAGGUUGGGAUUGAUUUUGGGAGUUUUAGUCCCAACAGUUUAUGAAUAAGGGGCCC